Molecule: small nuclear RNA, 139 nt
Organism: Mustela lutreola (European mink)
Lineage: Eukaryota; Metazoa; Chordata; Mammalia; Carnivora; Mustelidae
Product: U4 spliceosomal RNA
Exons: 1
Source: RefSeq, a predicted model, not a curated record
AGCUUUGCGCAGUGGCAGUAUCGUAGCCAAUGAGGUUUAUCCGAGGCGCGAUUAUUGCUAAUUGAAAAAAAAAAAAUAUAUAUAUAUAUAUACACACACACGUGUGUGUGUGUGUGUACAUGUGUAUAUAUAUAAUAUA